This 380-nucleotide ribosomal RNA is filed under the name uncultured eukaryote. RNAcentral describes it as "partial 18S ribosomal RNA". It matches the Rfam family "Eukaryotic small subunit ribosomal RNA", at positions 592 to 976 of the family's 1831-position model. The record is from RNAcentral.
CAAUAGCGUAUAUUAAAGUUGUUGCGGUUAAAAAGCUCGUAGUUGGAUUUCUGUUGAGAACGACCGGUCCGCACUAUGUGCGUGUAUCUGGUUCGGUCUUGGCAUCCUCUUGAGGAACGUAUCUGCGCUUGAUUGCGUGGAGCGGUAUUCAAGACUUUUACUUUGAGGAAAUUAGAGUGUUCACGGCAGGCAAGCGCCUUGAAUACGUUAGCAUGGAAUAAUAAUAUAGGAUCUUGGUUCUAUUUUGUUGGUUUCUAGGGCUAAGGUAAUGAUUAAUAGGGAUAAUUGGGGGCAUUUGUAUUAACGCGUCAGAGGUGGAAUCCUUGGAUUGCGUUACGACAAACUACUGCGAAAGCAUUUGCCAAGGAUGUUUUCAUUGA